GACGAACGCUGGCGGCGUGCUUAACACAUGCAAGUCGAACGGAAAGGCCCUGCUUUUGUGGGGUGCUCGAGAGGCGAACGGGUGAGUAACACGUGAGUAACCUGCCCUUGACUUUGGGAUAACUUCAGGAAACUGGGGCUAAUACCGGAUAGGAGCUCCUGCUGCAUGGUGGGGGUUGGAAAGUUUCGGCGGUUGGGGAUGGACUCGCGGCUUAUCAGCUUGUUGGUGGGGUAGUGGCUUACCAAGGCUUUGACGGGUAGCCGGCCUGAGAGGGUGACCGGCCACAUUGGGACUGAGAUACGGCCCAGACUCCUACGGGAGGCAGCAGUGGGGAAUAUUGCACAAUGGGCGGAAGCCUGAUGCAGCAACGCCGCGUGCGGGAUGACGGCCUUCGGGUUGUAAACCGCUUUCGCCUGUGACGAAGCGUGAGUGACGGUAAUGGGUAAAGAAGCACCGGCUAACUACGCG
Molecule: ribosomal RNA, 468 nt
Filed under: uncultured bacterium
Lineage: Bacteria
Description: partial 16S ribosomal RNA
Rfam family: Bacterial small subunit ribosomal RNA
Source: RNAcentral